RNAcentral lists this ribosomal RNA (490 nucleotides) under uncultured bacterium. Its description in RNAcentral is "partial 16S ribosomal RNA". It matches the Rfam family "Bacterial small subunit ribosomal RNA", at positions 30 to 507 of the family's 1533-position model. The record is from RNAcentral.
AUUGAACGCUGGCGGCAGGCCUAACACAUGCAAGUCGAACGGUAACAGGAAGAAGCUUGCUUCUUUGCUGACGAGUGGCGGACGGGUGAGUAAUGUCUGGGAAACUGCCUGAUGGAGGGGGAUAACUACUGGAAACGGUAGCUAAUACCGCAUAACGUCGCAAGACCAAAGAGGGGGACCUUCGGGCCUCUUGCCAUCGGAUGUGCCCAGAUGGGAUUAGCUAGUAGGUGGGGUAACGGCUCACCUAGGCGACGAUCCCUAGCUGGUCUGAGAGGAUGACCAGCCACACUGGAACUGAGACACGGUCCAGACUACUACGGGAGGCAGCAGUGGGGAAUAUUGCACAAUGGGCGCAAGCCUGAUGCAGGCAUGCCGCGUGUAUGAAGAAGGCCUUCGGGUUGUAAAGUACUUUCAGCGGGGAGGAAGGGAGUAAAGUUAAUACCUUUGCUCAUUGACGUUACCCGCAGAAGAAGCACCGGCUAACUCCGUG